Molecule: ribosomal RNA, 504 nt
Filed under: uncultured bacterium
Lineage: Bacteria
Description: partial 16S ribosomal RNA
Rfam family: Bacterial small subunit ribosomal RNA
Source: RNAcentral
AUUGAACGCUGGCGGCAGGCCUAACACAUGCAAGUCGAACGGUAGCACAGAGAGCUUGCUCUCGGGUGACGAGUGGCGGACGGGUGAGUAACGUCUGGGAAACUGCCCGAUGGAGGGGGAUAACUACUGGAAACGGUAGCUAAUACCGCAUAACGUCGCAAGACCAAAGUGGGGGACCUUCGGGCCUCACACCAUCGGAUGUGCCCAGAUGGGAUUAGCUAGUAGGUGGGGUAAUGGCUCACCUAGGCGACGAUCCCUAGCUGGUCUGAGAGGAUGACCAGCCACACUGGAACUGAGACACGGUCCAGACUCCUACGGGAGGCAGCAGUGGGGAAUAUUGCACAAUGGGCGCAAGCCUGAUGCAGCCAUGCCGCGUGUAUGAAGAAGGCCUUCGGGUUGUAAAGUACUUUCAGCGGGGAGGAAGGCGGUGGAGUUAAUAACUUCACCGAUUGACGUUACCCGCAGAAGAAGCACCGGCUAACUCCGUGCCAGCAGCCGCCGCAG